AAGACUAUACUUUCAGGGGUCGUUUCUAUAGUUUGUUACUUGAGAAGUUUCUCUGACUGUACAGAGCACCAGAAGCCAGCAGAGCGAGAUAUACCAUCCCCUCCUGAGCGUGCCGGCUCGGCUCUAGGUGUUGCUUCAGUGCAGCUUCCUCCAGCCACUGAUGACCGAUCUUCUCUUCUUCGAGAGGGUAAGAGGGAGGGAACACACUCUGAGUGGA
Arvicanthis niloticus (Nile rat) is the source of this 217-nucleotide non-coding RNA. The record is from RefSeq and is a predicted model, not a curated record. Lineage: Eukaryota; Metazoa; Chordata; Mammalia; Rodentia; Muridae.